AAUCAGAGAGCCACAACGUACCUCUCAGUUUUGAAACAAAUUCUUUAACCUAGGGCCCUUUUAUUGUCCGGAAAUUUUAGACUAUACCAUAAAACCCAUGUCGACUGUGUGUUCUCCAAACACACUGGGCGGUAAGCCUUUAAUAAGCAGAUCUGCAAAAACUUGUUUGUUGCUUUUAUGCUCCAAGCAUUUCAACAUAAUUCCAGACUUUUCUCCUUAACAACGUACAACUUUGUGUCAAUGUGUUUGGCACCACACUUGACUCGUUGUCAUAGGAGUGAAAUACUUAAAUGGUUAUCGCUGCUGUCAACCAUUAUCAACUCCGGGUACAGGUUUCCAUAACGAUUUUGCCUGUCCCUCAGCCUCAUAUCAUGCUAUACUUUAUAUUUGCAUCACAUUGAUGAUAAAUGAUUCAUUCUAUAGAGUUCUUCCACACAAAAACUCCUAAUGUGAAGGUCAACGACAAUUGUGGAUUUCGCUGUACAUUUCACAAGUUUUUAUCUUUGUACUCACAACCUUUUGAGAGCACUUGUUUCUUUCAGCAUGAGGCCGAUAUCUUUGACUCCAUUCCAUCAAUUUAAAUAUGUACUGGACAUUGCCAAAACAACCCGGAUAUGUGAACUAUGUCACGGUAAUGUUACACUUUUGCAUUCAUAAAGCUUCCAACAGCUGAAGCAUAUGGUACCAUAUUCAUUUGGUCUAUUUCACAUUGACUCUUGGAACACUAAAGUUCCCAAAAUCAUUACCCUUUACUAUAAGAACAGGCGUAGGUUUUCUCACAUGCAUACUUUAGAGACUUUUCAAAGUAUGCUCAUGCGACACUCCUAAUACCCCCUUUUUUUCUUGGUGAAUCUCAAUAAUUAUAACGAGAGUCAC
Molecule: non-coding RNA, 876 nt
Organism: Aegilops tauschii subsp. strangulata
Lineage: Eukaryota; Viridiplantae; Streptophyta; Magnoliopsida; Poales; Poaceae
Source: RefSeq, a predicted model, not a curated record